GAUGAACGCUGGCGGCGUGCCUAAUACAUGCAAGUCGAGCGAACAGACGAGGAGCUUGCUCCUCUGACGUUAGCGGCGGACGGGUGAGUAACAUGUGGAUAACCUACCUAUAAGACUGGGAUAACUUCGGGAAACCGGAGCUAAUACCGGAUAAUAUAUUGAACCGCAUGGUUCAAUAGUGAAAGACGGUUUUGCUGUCACUUAUAGAUGGAUCCGCGCCGCAUUAGCUAGUUGGUAAGGUAACGGCUUACCAAGGCAACGAUGCGUAGCCGACCUGAGAGGGUGAUCGGCCACACUGGAACUGAGACACGGUCCAGACUCCUACGGGAGGCAGCAGUAGGGAAUCUUCCGCAAUGGGCGAAAGCCUGACGGAGCAACGCCGCGUGAGUGACGAAGGUCUUCGGAUCGUAAAACUCUGUUAUUAGGGAAGAACAAAUGUGUAAGUAACUAUGCACGUCUUGACGGUACCUAAUCAGAAAGCCACGGCUAACUACGUG
RNAcentral lists this ribosomal RNA (497 nucleotides) under uncultured bacterium. Its description in RNAcentral is "partial 16S ribosomal RNA". It matches the Rfam family "Bacterial small subunit ribosomal RNA", at positions 28 to 507 of the family's 1533-position model. The record is from RNAcentral.